AAUCUUUUGUAAACUCCCCGUAAACCGAGACCUCUAGGGAGUAUAAAUGCACGUCUCUAAUACCCACACUGGAGGGUGGUGUGGGAAUAUCAUAACCG
RNAcentral lists this non-coding RNA (98 nucleotides) under unclassified sequences. RNAcentral describes it as "PhotoRC-II RNA". It matches the Rfam family "PhotoRC-II RNA". The record is from RNAcentral.